UAAAUGAGGGACCUGGCUAUAGCGCUGUAGAAAAAAUAAAAGGUUCAGAUUUGUUUUUACACAAGUCUGUCGAUUAUGCAAACUUACCAGCAUUUUCUUAUGGUUUUCUAACUUGACGCCGUUUGAAGAAGGGGAACGUCUCUUUUGCUUCACAACACGGGAAUGAAGAGAACUGUUCGCCUUCAAAGAAUUGUUCUGAUGCCCAACUAGGCCAACUGAAUGAAGGCAACAUGAGAAGUCUUCGGGGAGUUUUUUUUUUUUUUCCGGUUGUGUCUCCGGCGAUCUCUGGCCGUUCUUCUCUUCGUUCUAAUGCGCCAUUGAAGCCAGAUCUGGGAUUUUUCGCCGAUCUUCUCUCGACACGCGCCCCGUCUUCGUCUUUGCCGUCAUUUUCCGGUCUGACCGCUACUCUCCACGGCCUCGUCGGAGUUCAAGUUCACGGCGCUUGACCAGUACGUGUCAAGGAGUUUUGUCUCCCUGGUCGGCGCAUGAGGGACACGCACCAUCUUAUAGGUCUUGGUGGCUGGUGUUCGGUGGUCCAUGGUGGUCGUUUGCGGCAGGGAGAUCUCCGAAGCUGGUGCUGUCGCCGGUGGUUCAAAAACUCCCUGUUUUGGCCGGAUCUGAAUUGGUUUUCUGCCGUAUUUAUUCUUUCUUGUAUUUCUUAGGUUUAUUCAAAGUCUGCAUAUGAUUUUUGCAGAUAUUAUGGGUCUGUUUGUUGGGUUUGUUAACUCGGAUCAGUCCUCUUUUUUUAGUAGUAGAGCGUUAUUGUGAGAGAGUGACUCAAAUGCCAAUUCUUGUAAUAUUUGUGUAGUUGUAAGCAGCACCCAAGUCAAAUUUUCUGACUUAGUGUGUAGGAUGUUUGUAUUUCUACUCACUGUAACAGGCCUUCGAGCCUGAACUAGAAUUAAUACAA
Long non-coding RNA from Alnus glutinosa, 910 nucleotides. RefSeq lists it as uncharacterized. The record is from RefSeq and is a predicted model, not a curated record. The transcript is spliced from 2 exons. NCBI's taxonomy places the organism in Eukaryota, Viridiplantae, Streptophyta, Magnoliopsida, Fagales, Betulaceae.